CCCCUCUCAGAAUGUCACCUGAAGAGUUUCCAGUACUCGACCAGUCUUGAUUAUGGGAGGGAGAGUCAAUCAGAGGCCUAUCCAUUCCAUUCCUAGCUUGGGCAGUGGCUAGGGAGUGGAAGACACUCUGCUACAAGU
RNAcentral lists this small nucleolar RNA (138 nucleotides) under Ornithorhynchus anatinus (platypus). The record is from RNAcentral. Lineage: Eukaryota; Metazoa; Chordata; Mammalia; Monotremata; Ornithorhynchidae.